Molecule: non-coding RNA, 606 nt
Organism: Camelina sativa (false flax)
Lineage: Eukaryota; Viridiplantae; Streptophyta; Magnoliopsida; Brassicales; Brassicaceae
Source: RefSeq, a predicted model, not a curated record
GCGUGUCUCCCUUUUUUUGUAGGUCGCUCAUUGCAAAUCUUUCUGCUGCAAGCUGCUACAAGGUUGAACACUUGCAUAAGCAUGAGUAUUGGGCUCUAGUUGGGAAUGUUAAGUUCUACUACAUUGAUGGAUUCUUCGUCACAAUAUAUCACCAUAAUCCAUUCAGUUGGUAUGUGAACAUGCAGCUGCUAACAACAAGCUAAGAAGACAUGAUCCUUUAUGAGAACCAGACAUGUCAUAUUUUGUAAUGUCUUCUCUUUGAUCAGAUUUCAACACAUUUCUCUACUGUUUCUUUCUAACAGUAGCAAGAAUCAAGGUUUACCGACAUCUGAAAUAUCUAUCUACUCUCAGUUAGUACAUGAUUUUUUCUAUUAAGAUUUUUUUUAUUAAGAAUCUUAGUUAUUGGAUAAGUUGAGGUUUGUUUAGUUUUAGCAACCAGAUGGAAUCUUAUAGAAUCGUCAGUUUGGUAGAUAACAUCCAUGUUGUUUCUUCUUAUGUUCUUUGUUUUUAAUUUUGUGUACAAAAUCAAUUUGUGUGACAUGUUUUUGUUGGGUAUAUUGUGAUGUUCUCUGUUGAACAAAUCGACAAUGCACAUUUUUGGAUGAA